Parelaphostrongylus tenuis is the source of this 72-nucleotide non-coding RNA. The record is from the annotation of a GenBank genome assembly. Lineage: Eukaryota; Metazoa; Nematoda; Chromadorea; Rhabditida; Metastrongylidae.
GCGUCGGUGGUGCAACUGUUAGCAUACGCUUUCGGAAAGUGUGAGAUCUGGGUGCGAAUCCCGGUUGACGCA